AAACUACUCCCUCUGUCCCAAAUUUCUUGUCUUAGAUUUGUCUAGAUAUGGAUGUAUCGAAUACUAAAAUGUGACUUGAUACAUCCGUAUCUAGACAAAUCUAAUACAAGAAUUUUGGGACGGAGAGAGUAUUUU
Molecule: non-coding RNA, 135 nt
Organism: Triticum aestivum (bread wheat)
Lineage: Eukaryota; Viridiplantae; Streptophyta; Magnoliopsida; Poales; Poaceae
Source: Rfam